This 439-nucleotide ribosomal RNA is filed under the name uncultured bacterium. RNAcentral describes it as "partial 16S ribosomal RNA". It matches the Rfam family "Bacterial small subunit ribosomal RNA", at positions 339 to 795 of the family's 1533-position model. The record is from RNAcentral.
CUACGGGCGGCUGCAGUGGGGAAUAUUGCACAAUGGAGGAAACUCUGAUGCAGCAACGCCGCGUGGAGGAUGACACUUUUCGGAGCGUAAACUCCUUUUAUAUAGGAAGAAGAUGACGGUACUAUAUGAAUAAGCGCCGGCUAGCUCCGUGCCAGCAGCCGCGGUAAUACGGAGGGCGCAAGCGUUACUCGGAAUCACUGGACGUAAAGAGCGUGUAGGCGGAUUAAAAAGUCAGAAGUGAAAUCCUAUAGCUUAACUAUAGAACUGCUUCUGAAACUCUUAAUCUAGAAUAUGGGAGAGGGAGAUGGAAUUUCUGGUGUAGGGGUAAAAUCCGUAGAGAUCAGAAGGAAUACCGAUUGCGAAGGCGAUCUACUAGAACAUUAUUGACGCUGAGACGCGAAAGCGUGGGGAGCAAACAGGAUUAGAUACCCCGGUAGUC